GUCUACAGUCAUGCCAUCCUGAACACACCUGAUCUUGGAAGCUAAGCAGGGUUGUGCUUGGUUAGUACUUGGAUCGGAGACCACCUAGGAAGGCCAGGUGCUGUAGACU
This 109-nucleotide ribosomal RNA is filed under the name Pteropus alecto (black flying fox). The record is from RNAcentral. Lineage: Eukaryota; Metazoa; Chordata; Mammalia; Chiroptera; Pteropodidae.